This 30-nucleotide non-coding RNA is filed under the name Homo sapiens (human). The record is from RNAcentral. Lineage: Eukaryota; Metazoa; Chordata; Mammalia; Primates; Hominidae.
UAAAGCAAAAGCAGCUCGGGUAGCCUCUCA